CCGGCCUGAGAGGGCGACCGGCCACACUGGGACUGAGACACGGCCCAGACUCCUACGGGAGGCAGCAGUGGGGAAUAUUGCACAAUGGGCGAAAGCCUGAUGCAGCGACGCCGCGUGAGGGAUGACGGCCUUCGGGUUGUAAACCUCUUUCAGCAGGGAAGAAGCGAAAGUGACGGUACCUGCAGAAGAAGCGCCGGCUAACUACGUGCCAGCAGCCGCGGUAAUACGUAGGGCGCAAGCGUUGUCCGGAAUUAUUGGGCGUAAAGAGCUCGUAGGCGGCUUGUCACGUCGGAUGUGAAAGCCCGGGGCUUAACCCCGGGUCUGCAUUCGAUACGGGCUAGCUAGAGUGUGGUAGGGGAGAUCGGAAUUCCUGGUGUAGCGGUGAAAUGCGCAGAUAUCAGGAGGAACACCGGUGGCGAAGGCGGAUCUCUGGGCCAUUACUGACGCUGAGGAGCGAAAGCGUGGGGAGCGAACAGGAUUAGAUACCCUGGUAGUCCACGCCGUAAACGU
RNAcentral lists this ribosomal RNA (510 nucleotides) under Streptomyces sp. AOA1. RNAcentral's name for it is "bacterial SSU rRNA". It matches the Rfam family "Bacterial small subunit ribosomal RNA", at positions 287 to 809 of the family's 1533-position model. The record is from RNAcentral. Lineage: Bacteria; Bacillati; Actinomycetota; Actinomycetes; Kitasatosporales; Streptomycetaceae.